AGACUGCAGGUGGAACUUUCCUGUAUCUCCAAGUCUCCGUCGUCAUUAAUAUGACAGCCACCAGACACCAGCCACCAGCUGUCCACUUGUCAUCUCUUUUACCUCCUUACCUACUGCGUAUCAGUUGGAAAUAUGUCAGGGAGUAAUGGAACAAGAAGGAGCAGCUGUUAUGAAGAGCUGCAGGUGACAGGCUGCACUUUCAACUUCUCAGCGAGUAGCAUGCUGGACCGGGCGGGAGAGCAGAGUGAGACUGGAAGAGACGCACACUCAAGCAGAUGGCAGAGAAGAAAACUGUGAGUGGCUGUAUUGUGUGUAGAACAAAUAAAGAACCCUGAUAAACGGG
Larimichthys crocea (large yellow croaker) is the source of this 343-nucleotide long non-coding RNA. RefSeq lists it as uncharacterized. The transcript is spliced from 3 exons. NCBI's taxonomy places the organism in Eukaryota, Metazoa, Chordata, Actinopteri, Sciaenidae. The record is from RefSeq and is a predicted model, not a curated record.